AUUGAACGCUGGCGGCAGCUUAACACAUGCAAGUCGAGCGGGGUGAUGGUGCUUGCACUAUCACUUAGCGGCGGACGGGUGAGUAAUGCUUAGGAAUCUGCCUAUUAGUGGGGGACGACAUCUCGAAAGGGAUGCUAAUACCGCAUACGUCCUACGGGAGAAAGCAGGGGAUCACUUGUGACCUUGCGCUAAUAGAUGAGCCCAAGUCGGAUUAGCUAGUUGGUGGGGUAAAGGCCUACCAAGGCGACGAUCUGUAGCGGGUCUGAGAGGAUGAUCCGCCACACUGGGACUGAGACACGGCCCAGACUCCUACGGGAGGCAGCAAUGGGGAAUAUUGGACAAUGGGGGGAACCCUGAUCCAGCCAUGCCGCGUGUGUGAAGAAGGCCUUAUGGUUGUAAAGCACUUUAAGCGAGGAGGAGGCUCUUUUGGUUAAUACCCAAGAUGAGUGGACGUUACUCGCAGAAUAAGCACCGGCUAACUCUGUGCCAGCCGCCGCAGUAA
This 502-nucleotide ribosomal RNA is filed under the name uncultured bacterium. RNAcentral describes it as "partial 16S ribosomal RNA". It matches the Rfam family "Bacterial small subunit ribosomal RNA", at positions 30 to 523 of the family's 1533-position model. The record is from RNAcentral.